UGGAUCACCUCCUAACAGGGAGACAACAAAAUGUUUGUAAUAAAUUUUGUCACCUUAGGUCGAUCGGAACCUCUGAUUUUCGAAACUAUCGAAGAUUUCAAUUUCCUAAGUUUUUUCUAGGUCACACCCAUUUUUUUCCUGGGCCAUUAGCUCAGGUGGUUAGAGCGCACCCCUGAUAAGGGUGAGGUCCCUGGUUCAAGUCCAGGAUGGCCCAUAUCUCUAUUGGGGGUAUAGCUCAGUUGGUAGAGCGCCUGCUUUGCAAGCAGGAUGUCAGCGGUUCGAGUCCGCUUACCUCCACUGAAUACCACCUAAUUCAUUUAAGAGGGGAUUUAUCUGGGUAUACCUUCAAUCUGGGAGAAUCUAGCUUCCUGUUAAUUUAAUUAAUAAGAUGCUGGAUUCACUGAAUUACACAAUUCAAUGAUUCCAGAGAACCUUGACAACUGCAUAGAUUUAAUUUUCAAGACAAUAAGCAUCUUUUAAGAUGCAGAUUUAUUAUUGGUGCUAAUGCAUUAAUAACAAUUCUAUUGAGCUGAUGCUUCAAAUUUUUUGAAGUUAUUGGUCAAGCUACAAAGGGCUCAUGGAGGAUACCUAGGCACACAGAGGCGAUGAAGG
This 612-nucleotide transfer RNA is filed under the name uncultured Prochlorococcus sp. RNAcentral describes it as "partial contains 16S ribosomal RNA, 16S-23S ribosomal RNA intergenic spacer, and 23S ribosomal RNA". The stretch from base 225 to 297 matches the Rfam family "tRNA". Lineage: Bacteria; Bacillati; Cyanobacteriota; Cyanophyceae; Synechococcales; Prochlorococcaceae. The record is from RNAcentral.